RNAcentral lists this ribosomal RNA (371 nucleotides) under Atrichopogon winnertzi. Its description in RNAcentral is "partial 16S ribosomal RNA". The record is from RNAcentral. Lineage: Eukaryota; Metazoa; Arthropoda; Insecta; Diptera; Ceratopogonidae.
UUUUGACCGUGCAAAGGUAGCAUAAUCAUUUGUCUCCUUAAUUAGAGGCUGGUAUGAAUGGUUGAAUGAGGAUAAAAAUUGUCUUUAAUAUAAAAUAAACAGUGAACGUUUAAAUUUUAAUAAAAGAUGUUAAAAUAUAAAUAAAAGACGAGAAGACCCUAUAAAUCCUUUUUUUUAAAUUAAUUAUAUUUUUGCAUAAGUAAUUAAAUCUUAAUUAGUUUAAAAAUUUUAAUUGGGGUGAUAAUGAAAUUUAAAUAACUUUCAUAAAUAUAAUUAAUAUUUAUAAAUAAAUAAGUGAUCCCUUAUUAAUGAUUAAUAAAAUAAGUUACUUCAGGCACCGCGCGGCCUUCCCCCCAAGAAAAGCCGCUAAU